Molecule: long non-coding RNA, 1124 nt
Organism: Amphiprion ocellaris (clown anemonefish)
Lineage: Eukaryota; Metazoa; Chordata; Actinopteri; Pomacentridae
Source: Ensembl
GGAUAAUAAAAAGGAAAUAAAAAUACAUUAAAAAACAUUUAAUGAACAGGAACAGGAUGUAUAAAUGAAGACAUACAAUAAAUAUGAGGUAAAAUAUCACAGAAAUAGUAGAAAUAUUCCAAUAUUAUAGUAAAAAUCGUUCACUGGCUUCAUUUUGUGUGUUUGGAGGAGAUGGAAGCUGCAGGUUCAGGUGAUAAUAUGGAGCUAAAUAUCCACCUGGAGCAUCAGGUUUCCAUCAGAAAACAACUCAAAUUAAAUGACACGUAAUUUCAAAGUUGGACAUUUGAACUUAGAAUUCUAAUCAUGAAGGUCAAAAUUUAACUUUAAAUCUGUGGUACUUUGGCUCACUCAUGAUAUAGUAAGAAAAAAACAACGAUAUGAUAAAUAAAAAUACAAGUAAUAUUUCUGAAACCUUUCACGUUUUUAGAUUUUAGAGGUCAGAUUUACUGAAAAUAAAACAACAAAACUGUGAUAAAUAAAAACACAAGUCAGACUCUAACUCUGUCAAAUUCAGGAUUUCCAAAACUGAAUUUAGUUUUAUUUUUGUGCCGAGUUACGAAACCUAAACAUGAGAUUUUUCGGUCAAACUCAUGAAAUAUUAAAUCAAAAUAUCGAGAAUAAAAAUUAAUUUAAAAAAUUGAUGGCAGUAAUUAAAACAAACUUUCAAACUGAUGAAAAAUGUCAGAAAUAAUAAACACCUAAGCUUUACUGGCAUUUUCAUUUUUUUUUUUUUCUGGCAGAGAUGGGCUUCCAUAUGACCAUGGAGGCUAAAGCUGUGGUUCUCUGGUCACUCAUUGGUCCCAUAGAGGUGGUGAUGGAGCAGCAGGACCGGGUCUAGCAGCUCCAGGCCCGGGUCUACCAGCUCCAGGCCCGGGUCUACCAGCUCCAGGCCCGGGUCUAGCAGCUCCAGGCCCAGGUCUACCAGCUCCAGGCCCGGGUUUCCAGCUCCAGGCCCGGGUCUACCAGCUCCAGGCCCGGGUUUCCAAGCUCCAGGCCCGGGUCUAGCAGCUCCAGGCCCGGGUUUCCAGCAGCUGAGGCGGAUUUGCGCUGAUUGUGGCACAGCACCAUAAUUGAUGACCUAAUUGAAAGGAGGAGGAUGAUGAUGAUGGAGGGGUGGAGGAGGU